UACGUAGGCGCCAAGCGUUGUUCGGAAUUACUGGGCGUAAAGGGCGCCUAGGCGGACGGGUAAGUCGGGUGUGAAAUCCCUUGGCUCAACUGAGGAAUUGCGCCCGAUACUGCUCGUCUUGAGUGCAGAAGGGGAGAGUGGAACUCCUGGUGUAGCGGUGAAAUGCGUUGAUAUCAGGAUGAACGCCGGUGGCGAAAGCGGCUCUCUAGUCUGUUACUGACGCUGACGCGCGAAAGCCAGGGGAG
Molecule: ribosomal RNA, 245 nt
Filed under: uncultured bacterium
Lineage: Bacteria
Description: partial 16S ribosomal RNA
Rfam family: Bacterial small subunit ribosomal RNA
Source: RNAcentral